RNAcentral lists this microRNA (22 nucleotides) under Python bivittatus (Burmese python). Its description in RNAcentral is "pbv-miR-599-3p". Its record names the gene pbv-miR-599-3p. The record is from miRBase by way of RNAcentral. Lineage: Eukaryota; Metazoa; Chordata; Lepidosauria; Squamata; Pythonidae.
GUUGUGUCAAUUUAUCAAACCC